Molecule: ribosomal RNA, 468 nt
Filed under: uncultured bacterium
Lineage: Bacteria
Description: partial 16S ribosomal RNA
Rfam family: Bacterial small subunit ribosomal RNA
Source: RNAcentral
GACGAACGCUGGCGGCGUGCUUAACACAUGCAAGUCGAACGGAAAGGCCCUGCUUUUGUGGGGUGCUCGAGUGGCGAACGGGUGAGUAACACGUGAGUAACCUGCCCUUGACUUUGGGAUAACUUCAGGAAACUGGGGCUAAUACCGGAUAGGAGCUCCUGCUGCAUGGUGGGGGUUGGAAAGUUUCGGCGGUUGGGGAUGGACUCGCGGCUUAUCAGCUUGUUGGUGGGGUAGUGGCUUACCAAGGCUUUGACGGGUAGCCGGCCUGAGAGGGUGACCGGCAACAUUGGGACUGAGAUACGGCCCAGACUCCUACGGGAGGCAGCAGUGGGGAAUAUGGCACAAUGGGCGGAAGCCUGAUGCAGCAACGCCGCGUGCGGGAUGACGGCCUUCGGGUUGUAAACCGCUUUCGCCUGUGACGAAGCGUGAGUGACGGUAAUGGGUAAAGAAGCACCGGCUAACUACGUG